UCCUACGGGGGGCAGCAGUGGGGGAUAUUGCACAAUGGGGGGAACCCUGAUGCAGCGACGCCGCGUGGGCGAUGGAGUACUUCGGUAUGUAAAGCCCUAUCAGCAGGGAAGAAAAUGACGGUACCUGACUAAGAAGCCCCGGCUAAAUACGUGCCAGCAGCCGCGGUAAUACGUAUGGGGCAAGCGUUAUCCGGAUUUACUGGGUGUAAGGGGAGCGUAGACGGCAUAGCAAGUCUGAAGUGAAAGCCCGUGGCUCAACCGCGGAACUGCUUUGGAAACUGUUAAGCUGGAGUACUGGAGAGGCA
RNAcentral lists this ribosomal RNA (305 nucleotides) under uncultured bacterium. RNAcentral describes it as "bacterial SSU rRNA". It matches the Rfam family "Bacterial small subunit ribosomal RNA", at positions 337 to 659 of the family's 1533-position model. The record is from RNAcentral.